UGGGGAAUAUUGCACAAUGGGCGAAAGCCUGAUGCAGCAACGCCGCGUGAGUGAUGAAGGCCUUCGGGUUGUAAAGCUCUGUCUUUUGGGACGAUAAUGACGGUACCAAAGGAGGAAGCCACGGCUAACUACGUGCCAGCAGCCGCGGUAAUACGUAGGUGGCAAGCGUUGUCCGGAUUUUACUGGGCGUAAAGGAUGCGUAGGCGGAUUUUUAAGUGAGAUGUGAAAUACCCGGGCUUAACUUGGGUGCUGCAUUUCAAACUGGGAAUCUAGAGUGCGGGAGAGGAGAAUGGAAUUCCUAGUGUAGCGGUGAAAUGCGUAGAGAUUAGGAAGAACACCAGUGGCGAAGGCGAUUCUCUGGACCGUAACUGACGCUGAGGCAUGAAAGCGUGGGUAGCAAACAGGAUUAGAUACCCUGGUAGUCCACGCCGUAAACGAUGAGUACUAGGUGUAGGAGGUAUCGACCCCUUCUGUGCCGCAGUUAACACAAUAAGUACUCCGCCUGGGAAGUACGAUCGCAAGA
Molecule: ribosomal RNA, 523 nt
Filed under: uncultured bacterium
Lineage: Bacteria
Description: partial 16S ribosomal RNA
Rfam family: Bacterial small subunit ribosomal RNA
Source: RNAcentral